UACGUAGGGGGCAAGCGUUGUCCGGAAUCAUUGGGCGUAAAGCGCGUGUAGGCGGUCAGGUAAGUCUGCUCUGAAAGCCCGGGGCUCAACCCCGGGAGGCGGGUGGAUACUGCUUGACUCGAGUCCGGAAGAGGCGAGUGGAAUUCCUGGUGUAGCGGUGAAAUGCGCAGAUAUCAGGAGGAACACCGGUGGCGAAGGCGGUUCUCUGGGCAUGUCCUGACGCUGAGGAGCGAAAGUGUGGGGAGCGAACAGG
Molecule: ribosomal RNA, 253 nt
Filed under: uncultured bacterium
Lineage: Bacteria
Description: partial 16S ribosomal RNA
Rfam family: Bacterial small subunit ribosomal RNA
Source: RNAcentral